This 76-nucleotide transfer RNA is filed under the name Shigella sp. RNAcentral's name for it is "tRNA-Lys". It matches the Rfam family "tRNA". Rfam says of the family: Transfer RNA (tRNA) molecules are approximately 80 nucleotides in length. Their secondary structure includes four short double-helical elements and three loops (D, anti-codon, and T loops). The record is from RNAcentral. Lineage: Bacteria; Pseudomonadati; Pseudomonadota; Gammaproteobacteria; Enterobacterales; Enterobacteriaceae.
GGGUCGUUAGCUCAGUUGGUAGAGCAGUUGAAUUUUAAACAGUUGGUCGCUGGUUCGAAUACUGCACGACCCACCA